CAGCAGCCACGGGAAUACGUAGGGUGCGAGCGUUAAUCGGAAUUACUGGGCGUAAAGCGUGCGCAGGCGGUUGUGUAAGACAGGUGUGAAAUCCCCGGGCUUAACCUGGGAACUGCGCUUGUGACUGCACAGCUAGAGUAUGGCAGAGGGGGGUGGAAUUCCACGUGUAGCAGUGAAAUGCGUAGAGAUGUGGAGGAACACCGAUGGCGAAGGCAGCCCCCUGGGCCAAUACUGACGCUCAUGCACGAAAGCGUGGGGAGCAAACAGGAUUAGAUACCCCCGUAGUCCCUGUCUCUUAUAA
This 301-nucleotide ribosomal RNA is filed under the name uncultured bacterium. Its description in RNAcentral is "partial 16S ribosomal RNA". It matches the Rfam family "Bacterial small subunit ribosomal RNA", at positions 509 to 809 of the family's 1533-position model. The record is from RNAcentral.